GGAUGACUCUGCAUCCCCUGAAGGGGUGGGACCUCAGGUGGAAGGGGCGGGGCAGAGGCAGUCACCCCUCAGCCAUGCCUAGACUGUGGUGCUAGUCUCCAUUCUCUGCUCUCAGAGCCACGUGGCGUGGCACUCCAGUGCACUGGCAUCAAUUUAGAAAUAGCAGCAGCAGUGGCUGGGAGCUCUGGUCCACUUUGAAUCGCCGGGCCUCAGGGCAACUACCCCGCCCCUCUGGUGGCAGGUCCGUGUAUUAUAUUCAUUUAUAAAUUGCUCCUCAAUUUAUCAGGCUGCAGAUCUGGGAACCCUUUACCAGGAAUAAACUAGAUGUUUUACAGUUCCCAAUAAAAGGAACCAAAACACCGUGCUCCACUGUAUUCCACAUUUUAAGAGAGAAAAGGUAGAUCUAGCCAUUUGACUCGGGGACAGAUAUUUUAAGGCUUGUAGGUACCUUAGGAUGCAGAAAGGUGCCUACGGAGAUUUUCAAAUGUACCUAGGUAUCUAAUGCCCAUUGAUUUCUGCAUCCUUAGAACCUUUAAAAAUAGGUCCCUAAAAGCCCAGGGUUUCAUGGUUCAUGACUGGAAAGGCCUUCUCAAAGAGAUGCAUUUUAUAGCUCUUUCUGAGAGACCACGUUUGCUUUUAGGCUUGUUUCUAGUGGGAGUGUGUUCCAGAGGUGAAGGUCCUGCUGUCAGAUCCUGUGAGUUUUGCCAUGGGGAUAGUAAGAGAGAGGUCAGAAAUGAAGAUGGCCAUUUAGCAUGUUGUCAAUAAAUAGCACUUCGCAUUUCACUCUGGAGUCUCCAGGCAGCCACUCAGAGAGCAGGGUAUAAAUACACCAUGCUUUCACUGGCCCACGUCACUCGGAAGGCAAGAACCCUUUUAGUAUUACCCUCCCACACUGUUCAUCAGGCAAUGAGUAAGGACCUAGCCACAUUGCUAGGUCUCACAGUCAAGUUAAGAACUUCUCAUAUAAUGCUCCUUUUCUGGGGAGUGACUAUUCCAAAGAAAGCCAUAUCAAUGUAAUAAAAGAACAUGCUAUGGCUGCUAUAUUUCCAUUGCCUUCUUCAAUUCAUUUACAUAUUGACCUACAGGCACCUCUUAAUGAUACUUUAACUGAGCCACGUUGUCUUUGGCUACUCUGCAGCAGAAGAUGCAAGCAGCUUUCUACUUCUGUCUGUUGUGCCCUUGGCCAGUAGAUGACCACAGUAGUAGCACUCCUGCCCCCUAGAGAAAAAAAAUCCAGCUGAAGAAAAGUAUAAGCCUUUAAGUACAACUGACUCCAAUGGACAUUCAGUGAAGGUGAAGGUGGUGAGGACCAUUAACACCAUCCUUCUGUGCCGGCUCAUCCUCCUGGAUGAUGUGGACCUCAUAGUUGCUGGCUUUGCCACUGUGGGCUUCCCCAACUGCAGGAGGGCCAUUGAUGGCACCCACAUCCUCAUCCGGGCCCCAGAUCAGCAGGCAUCGGACUACAUUAACCACAAGGUGUACUUUUCUAUAGUCCUGCAGGCUCUCGUGGACCACCAAGGCAGUUUCACAAACAGCAACUUUAGGUGGUUGGGGAAGGUGCAUGAAGCCCGCAUCUUCCACAACUCCAGCCUCUAUGACAAGCUGCACAGUGGCACUUUUUUCCCCAAAUCACAACAUCAGGGUUGGGGACGUGGACGUGCCCAUAUGCAUAGCGGGGGAUUCAGCCUACCCUUUUCUCCCCUGGUUGAUGAAGCCCUACACAGGACACCUGGACCAAAGCAAAGAACAUUUCAAUGAAAGGCUCAGCAGGGUCCACAUUGCACCUUUGAGCCUUUGAAAGAGAGGUUCCACUGCCUCCUCACCUACCUUGACUUCAGUAAGCGGAAUGUCCCUCAAGUGGUUGCAGCCUGUUGUGUUCUGCAUAAUAUAUGCAAGAACAAGAGGGAGAUGUUCCUGCUAGGGUGGGAGGCAGAGGUCGAGCAGCCUGGCAGAGCCUUUGAACAGCCAUAUAUGGUUGCCAUCUGGCAGGCCUAUCAAAGGGCUUUGCACAUCCAACAGGCCCUGAGAGAGAGUUUCACACAAGGAGCCCAAUGACGCUCUCCCCUGGGCCUCCCUACAAGGGUCCUGUGAAUUGCCCUUUUCUUUCUUCCCCCCUCCCU
Non-coding RNA from Pelodiscus sinensis (Chinese soft-shelled turtle), 2120 nucleotides. NCBI's taxonomy places the organism in Eukaryota, Metazoa, Chordata, Testudines, Trionychidae. The record is from RefSeq and is a predicted model, not a curated record.